AAGUGAAAAGGCUUAAAUGAUUUGAAGGGACGAUAAGACCCUAUAAAACUUUAUAUUUAUAAGGUAGUAGUUGUUUUUAUUUAAUAGUAUUAUUUUGGAAUAUUUGGUUGGGGUGACAAGGAUAAAAUAUAAAAUAACUGUCUUUUUUUUUUACAGUUAUGUUUGGUUUAAUGAUCCUAAAAGGGAUUAAAGAUUAAGUUACUUUAGGGAUAACAGCGUAAUUUUCUUUAAGAGUUCUUAUCGACAAGAAAGUUUGCGACCUCGAUGUUGAAUUAAAAGUUCUUUAUAGAGUAGAGACUAUAGAAGAAGGUCUGUUCGACCUUUAAAGUUUUACAUGAUUUGAGUUCAGACCGGUGUAAGCCAGG
Molecule: ribosomal RNA, 365 nt
Filed under: Procambarus gonopodocristatus
Lineage: Eukaryota; Metazoa; Arthropoda; Malacostraca; Decapoda; Cambaridae
Description: partial large subunit ribosomal RNA
Rfam family: Bacterial large subunit ribosomal RNA (bases 209-365)
Source: RNAcentral